CCUACGGGGGGCUGCAGUGGGGAAUAUUGGACAAUGGGGGCAACCCUGAUCCAGCCAUGCCGCGUGUGUGAAGAAGGCCCUCGGGUUGUAAAGCACUUUCAGUGAGGAAGAACGCCUGGUGGUUAAUACCCAUCAUGACAGACAUCACUCACAGAAGAAGCACCGGCUAACUCCGUGCCAGCAGCCGCGGUAAUACGGAGGGUGCGAGCGUUAAUCGGAAUUACUGGGCGUAAAGCGCGCGCAGGUGGCUUGAUAAGCCUGUUGUGAAAGCCCCGGGCUCAACCUGGGAACGGCAUCCGGAACUGUCAAGCUAGAGUGCAGGAGAGGAAGGUAGAAUUCCCGGUGUAGCGGUGAAAUGCGUAGAGAUCGGGAGGAAUACCAGUGGCGAAGGCGGCCUUCUGGACUGAAACUGACGCUGAGGUGCGAAAGCGUGGGUAGCAAACAGGAUUAGAUACCCGUGUAGUC
RNAcentral lists this ribosomal RNA (465 nucleotides) under Vreelandella stevensii. RNAcentral's name for it is "partial 16S ribosomal RNA". It matches the Rfam family "Bacterial small subunit ribosomal RNA", at positions 338 to 795 of the family's 1533-position model. Lineage: Bacteria; Pseudomonadati; Pseudomonadota; Gammaproteobacteria; Oceanospirillales; Halomonadaceae. The record is from RNAcentral.